RNAcentral lists this ribosomal RNA (2909 nucleotides) under Escherichia coli. RNAcentral describes it as "partial 23S ribosomal RNA". It matches the Rfam family "Bacterial large subunit ribosomal RNA". Lineage: Bacteria; Pseudomonadati; Pseudomonadota; Gammaproteobacteria; Enterobacterales; Enterobacteriaceae. The record is from RNAcentral.
GGUUAAGCGACUAAGCGUACACGGUGGAUGCCCUGGCAGUCAGAGGCGAUGAAGGACGUGCUAAUCUGCGAUAAGCGUCGGUGAGGUGAUAUGAACCGUUAUAACCGGCGAUUUCCGAAUGGGGAAACCCAGUGUGUUUCGACACACUAUCAUUAACUGAAUCCAUAGGUUAAUGAGGCGAACCGGGGGAACUGAAACAUCUAAGUACCCCGAGGAAAAGAAAUCAACCGAGAUUCCCCCAGUAGCGGCGAGCGAACGGGGAGGAGCCCAGAGCCUGAAUCAGUGUGUGUGUUAGUGGAAGCGUCUGGAAAGGCGCGCGAUACAGGGUGACAGCCCCGUACACAAAAAUGCACAUAUUGUGAGCUCGAUGAGUAGGGCGGGACACGUGGUAUCCUGUCUGAAUAUGGGGGGACCAUCCUCCAAGGCUAAAUACUCCUGACUGACCGAUAGUGAACCAGUACCGUGAGGGAAAGGCGAAAAGAACCCCGGCGAGGGGAGUGAAAAAGAACCUGAAACCGUGUACGUACAAGCAGUGGGAGCCUCUUUAUGGGGUGACUGCGUACCUUUUGUAUAAUGGGUCAGCGACUUAUAUUCUGUAGCAAGGUUAACCGAAUAGGGGAGCCGAAGGGAAACCGAGUCUUAACUGGGCGUUAAGUUGCAGGGUAUAGACCCGAAACCCGGUGAUCUAGCCAUGGGCAGGUUGAAGGUUGGGUAACACUAACUGGAGGACCGAACCGACUAAUGUUGAAAAAUUAGCGGAUGACUUGUGGCUGGGGGUGAAAGGCCAAUCAAACCGGGAGAUAGCUGGUUCUCCCCGAAAGCUAUUUAGGUAGCGCCUCGUGAAUUCAUCUCCGGGGGUAGAGCACUGUUUCGGCAAGGGGGUCAUCCCGACUUACCAACCCGAUGCAAACUGCGAAUACCGGAGAAUGUUAUCACGGGAGACACACGGCGGGUGCUAACGUCCGUCGUGAAGAGGGAAACAACCCAGACCGCCAGCUAAGGUCCCAAAGUCAUGGUUAAGUGGGAAACGAUGUGGGAAGGCCCAGACAGCCAGGAUGUUGGCUUAGAAGCAGCCAUCAUUUAAAGAAAGCGUAAUAGCUCACUGGUCGAGUCGGCCUGCGCGGAAGAUGUAACGGGGCUAAACCAUGCACCGAAGCUGCGGCAGCGACACUAUGUGUUGUUGGGUAGGGGAGCGUUCUGUAAGCCUGUGAAGGUGGCCUGUGAGGGUUGCUGGAGGUAUCAGAAGUGCGAAUGCUGACAUAAGUAACGAUAAAGCGGGUGAAAAGCCCGCUCGCCGGAAGACCAAGGGUUCCUGUCCAACGUUAAUCGGGGCAGGGUGAGUCGACCCCUAAGGCGAGGCCGAAAGGCGUAGUCGAUGGGAAACAGGUUAAUAUUCCUGUACUUGGUGUUACUGCGAAGGGGGGACGGAGAAGGCUAUGUUGGCCGGGCGACGGUUGUCCCGGUUUAAGCGUGUAGGCUGGUUUUCCAGGCAAAUCCGGAAAACCAAGGCUGAGGCGUGAUGACGAGGCACUACGGUGCUGAAGCGACAAAUGCCCUGCUUCCAGGAAAAGCCUCUAAGCAUCAGGUAACAUCAAAUCGUACCCCAAACCGACACAGGUGGUCAGGUAGAGAAUACCAAGGCGCUUGAGAGAACUCGGGUGAAGGAACUAGGCAAAAUGGUGCCGUAACUUCGGGAGAAGGCACGCUGAUAUGUAGGUGAAGCGACUUGCUCGUGGAGCUGAAAUCAGUCGAAGAUACCAGCUGGCUGCAACUGUUUAUUAAAAACACAGCACUGUGCAAACACGAAAGUGGACGUAUACGGUGUGACGCCUGCCCGGUGCCGGAAGGUUAAUUGAUGGGGUUAGCGGUAACGCGAAGCUCUUGAUCGAAGCCCCGGUAAACGGCGGCCGUAACUAUAACGGUCCUAAGGUAGCGAAAUUCCUUGUCGGGUAAGUUCCGACCUGCACGAAUGGCGUAAUGAUGGCCAGGCUGUCUCCACCCGAGACUCAGUGAAAUUGAACUCGCUGUGAAGAUGCAGUGUACCCGCGGCAAGACGGAAAGACCCCGUGAACCUUUACUAUAGCUUGACACUGAACAUUGAGCCUUGAUGUGUAGGAUAGGUGGGAGGCUUUGAAGUGUGGACGCCAGUCUGCAUGGAGCCGACCUUGAAAUACCACCCUUUAAUGUUUGAUGUUCUAACGUUGGCCCGUAAUCCGGGUUGCGGACAGUGUCUGGUGGGUAGUUUGACUGGGGCGGUCUCCUCCUAAAGAGUAACGGAGGAGCACGAAGGUUGGCUAAUCCUGGUCGGACAUCAGGAGGUUAGUGCAAUGGCAUAAGCCAGCUUGACUGCGAGCGUGACGGCGCGAGCAGGUGCGAAAGCAGGUCAUAGUGAUCCGGUGGUUCUGAAUGGAAGGGCCAUCGCUCAACGGAUAAAAGGUACUCCGGGGAUAACAGGCUGAUACCGCCCAAGAGUUCAUAUCGACGGCGGUGUUUGGCACCUCGAUGUCGGCUCAUCACAUCCUGGGGCUGAAGUAGGUCCCAAGGGUAUGGCUGUUCGCCAUUUAAAGUGGUACGCGAGCUGGGUUUAGAACGUCGUGAGACAGUUCGGUCCCUAUCUGCCGUGGGCGCUGGAGAACUGAGGGGGGCUGCUCCUAGUACGAGAGGACCGGAGUGGACGCAUCACUGGUGUUCGGGUUGUCAUGCCAAUGGCACUGCCCGGUAGCUAAAUGCGGAAGAGAUAAGUGCUGAAAGCAUCUAAGCACGAAACUUGCCCCGAGAUGAGUUCUCCCUGACUCCUUGAGAGUCCUGAAGGAACGUUGAAGACGACGACGUUGAUAGGCCGGGUGUGUAAGCGCAGCGAUGCGUUGAGCUAACCGGUACUAAUGAACCGUGAGGCUUAACCUUACAAC